AGCGAACGCUGGCGGCAUGCCUAACACAUGCAAGUCGAACGAACGCUUCGGAGGUAGUGGCGGACGGGUGUGUAACACGAGGGAACGGUCAUUUUUGUUCGGAAUAACUAUGGGAAACGUGUGCUAAUACCGAACGUGCCCUUCGGGGGAAAGAUUUAUCGGCCUUAAGGCGACACGAGUCUAAUUAGCUAGUGGGAGGGGUAACGGCUCUCCAAGGCCACCAUGAGCUGCUGGGCUUGGUGCAUGACCAGCCACACUGCGAGUGAUACCCGGCCCAGACGCCUCCGGGAGGCAGCAGUGGGGACGCUUGCGCACCGCGCGAAAGACUGACGCAGUCAUGCCGUGAAAAUGAUGAAGGUGUUAGGAUUGUAAGAUUCUUUCACCGGGGACGAUAAUGACGGUACCCGGAGAAGAAGCCCCGGCUAACUCCGU
RNAcentral lists this ribosomal RNA (432 nucleotides) under uncultured bacterium. RNAcentral describes it as "partial 16S ribosomal RNA". It matches the Rfam family "Bacterial small subunit ribosomal RNA", at positions 29 to 506 of the family's 1533-position model. The record is from RNAcentral.